Molecule: unclassified non-coding RNA, 314 nt
Filed under: plant metagenome
Description: partial contains 5.8S ribosomal RNA, internal transcribed spacer 2, and large subunit ribosomal RNA
Rfam family: 5.8S ribosomal RNA (bases 1-105)
Source: RNAcentral
GAAACGCGAUAGUUAAUGCGAAUUGCAGAAUUCAGUGAAUCAUCGAGUCUUUGAACGCACAUUGCGCCCAUAGGUAUUCCUUUGGGCAUGUCUGUUUGAGCGUCAUUACAACCCUCAGCUAACCGCUGGUUUUGAACCUGAACGGGUGACACCGCGCCGGUUUUAAAGUUGUAAGCUCUGCUGGCCGCUCUGCCCAACCAGAACAUAGUAAGCACUACUUGUCCGGGUGAAGCUGAACGGUACGGCCUGAACAAAACCUACCCACUCUCAAGGUUUGACAUCAGAUCAGAUAAGGAUACCCGCUGAACUUAAGC